GAAGAACUCAGUGGCAAUGUCUCACUCUCAAAGUCAAAAGUAGACGAUUUCCUCCUACUAGGGGAGGAUACACUGAACAGGAUCUCCAUCUCCUCAUCACCAGAUUCUGAUGCUGCAACUGUUACUUUCUCAUCUAUAGAACCCAUAACUGGAAAAAAGGGAAAAACUUUACGAACAGAUGAACAAGUAUUGAUAGGAAAGUCAACCCGGCAGAGGAACCCAGCAAACCCAGUUCAGAAAAGCUCAAGAAACAUCAUAAAGUUGCAAAAUUUCAAGAGAUCAAGCUAGGAAAAAGGGAGGCUGGAACUUGCCAACUCCAAUUGAUUGAUUACCUGAUGCAGACAGGAAGCUAUAGAA
This 357-nucleotide long non-coding RNA is filed under the name Linum usitatissimum (flax). Its description in RNAcentral is "long non-coding RNA (LUSI_LNC001306)". The record is from RNAcentral. Lineage: Eukaryota; Viridiplantae; Streptophyta; Magnoliopsida; Malpighiales; Linaceae.